CGGAGAGUCACGGAGUUCCGAAAGGUGUGAGGGAGAAAGGACUUCCAAGACCAGAGAGGGGAUUUACGAUAUUUAGAAAGCAGGGAAAGGAAAAUACCCCAAGUAUGGAGUCCGUUGGAGGUGUUGGUGGAUUUAUUUGUAGGAGGAAUUUUGGCCUGCAUCACGGUGGGAGGUCAAGUGGCAUCAUUUGGAGAGGGUAUGGCUACAAGCGCUUGGAAAGUCGGGACACUAGACAGAGCGAGAAUUUCUGGCACCCUGGGAGAGCUUUGAGGGGGAUGCGACUGUGGUGUGGAUAAGAAUGGCUGAUGGACGGAUUAUCUUGUGUUCCUCGUUGUGGGGAGCUUCCGCUCUUGGGACAUAGCCGCUACUUGUCUGAGGCUCCUUCUCUCUUGAGUUCUUUCAGCAUUAGGCCUUUUAGCCAAUUGAGGCUGCUUUUCUAAACAUUUAGGUUUUGGUGGGGUUUUUUUGCCAAAACCACAAUGACCUUUGCACCAGUCUAGUAAGUUUGGGAAAGAGAGCUGUCUGUGUGUUUUCAUUCCUAGAGCAGUACAAGCAGCAGGUGCAUUGAAUUUACUCAAUUGUAAAGUGGCUUG
This 593-nucleotide long non-coding RNA is filed under the name Homo sapiens (human). RNAcentral's name for it is "non-protein coding lnc-A2M-3:1". Lineage: Eukaryota; Metazoa; Chordata; Mammalia; Primates; Hominidae. The record is from RNAcentral.